RNAcentral lists this long non-coding RNA (1239 nucleotides) under Mus musculus (house mouse). RNAcentral describes it as "predicted gene 10687". The record is from RNAcentral. Lineage: Eukaryota; Metazoa; Chordata; Mammalia; Rodentia; Muridae.
GGCGCGCUGGCUGCGAGCUGCUGCUCCCCGAUCCAGGCCUAGAGGCUAACUCCCGUUUUCUGGCUUGGAAAGGUUGAAGGAGCAAUGACAGGUGUCCUGGGGCUCGAAUGACUGGCCGAGGCGGCAGAAGCUGGCCCGGUCGCUGUAGACUCUUGGACGCAGUAGCAGCGCUCGCUCAGGUUUGUCCACUACUAGCGGGGACCCUCUAGCAGAGGAGCAACAGAGAGGUAUCCCUGAUAGAGGACUCUCAGUCAGGUUCCUCUACCCUGCUGUGGAGGCAUGGAGCUGGCCCUGGUCGCCUUCUGGAAUGACCGCUUCACUGCGGCGGCUGCCGGCUUGGCACUGUUCCAGAGUCUUCGCUGGCCUGGCAGCCUUGGAGGAAGAACUGUGCCAGGUCCCACAGACCUAGGGGUGCCUGCAAGGGGGCGGGAGAGUUGGAAACGGUGCCUUUUGGGUUAUCUUUUCAUAUUCGAAUUCUUGCAAGUCCCUCUUACCCUAGAGAAGGGAGGAAGGGGUCUGAAUUCACAAGCCCAUGGUCCACGCCCUGACCCAGAUAAUCCUUUUUGUCUUCUGGUCUCUGUCUCGGUUUCCCUCACCUCAAUGAGGAAAAGUUAAUACUAACGGAUGUGGGAGUCUACAGCCUGUCUCCCAGAAACCUAUUACUCUCUCUAAUGCUUGAAAGCUGCCUUCCCUACCCACCCCUCAACUCUCUCACGGGGCAACGGCCUCAGGUUACUGAAAGCCUAAGUCUCCCACACAGAAAGGUGCCAGGAGCCCUAGCCUCCAUCCUUUCUAAUCCCAACUUCUCCCUGGGUCUUCUGGACUCUUAGAUUCAAAAAGGCUCUAGCACCAGAGCUUCAGGAAGGGUUUCACCCUUGGCUGGGACUCUCACCAGGGAGGGGUCUGUCACCCCACAGGGAACAAACAGCCUUUCUGCCGCUGCUGGAGAGAGGGAGGAGGGUUGAGGCAGCAAACCCCAGAGAUGGCCAGGUGACUUGAGAGGAUGCUCUGGGCUGUGUUCUGAUGACUCAGAUGACUGGCAAAUCACAUCUACCUCAUCACUCAAAUCUCAUUGACCCUCCUCCCUGGCCAUUAGCCUCCAGACAGAGCCAUGCCGACUGGCCUCAGGCUUGGGCUCUUGAUGGGAGAGAGGAAGAGGGCCCUGCCUCCUCUGCCCUCCAGAGUGAACUGAGGAGCACUGGCCCCUGGCCCCUGGCCCAGAGCAAAAUAGGAAGAAAA